UGGGGAAUAUUGGACAAUGGGCGCAAGCCUGAUCCAGCCAUACCGCGUGGGUGAAGAAGGCCUUCGGGUUGUAAAGCCCUUUUGUUGGGAAAGAAAUCCAGCUGGCUAAUACCCGGUUGGGAUGACGGUACCCAAAGAAUAAGCACCGGCUAACUUCGUGCCAGCAGCCGCGGUAAUACGAAGGGUGCAAGCGUUACUCGGAAUUACUGGGCGUAAAGCGUGCGUAGGUGGUCGUUUAAGUCCGUUGUGAAAGCCCUGGGCUCAACCUGGGAACUGCAGUGGAUACUGGGCGACUAGAGUGUGGUAGAGGGUAGCGGAAUUCCUGGUGUAGCAGUGAAAUGCGUAGAGAUCAGGAGGAACAUCCAUGGCGAAAGGCAGCUACCUGGACCAACACUGACACUGAGGCACGAAAGCGUGGGGAGCAAACAGGAUUAGAUACCCUGGUAGUCCACGCCCUAAACGAUGCGAACUGGAUGUUGGGUGCAAUUUGGCACGCAGUAUCGAAGCUAACGCGUUAAGUUCGCCGCCUGGGAGUACGGUCGCAAGACUGAAACUC
Molecule: ribosomal RNA, 556 nt
Filed under: uncultured bacterium
Lineage: Bacteria
Description: bacterial SSU rRNA
Rfam family: Bacterial small subunit ribosomal RNA
Source: RNAcentral